This is a non-coding RNA of Erythranthe guttata (spotted monkey flower), 312 nucleotides long. The record is from RefSeq and is a predicted model, not a curated record. NCBI's taxonomy places the organism in Eukaryota, Viridiplantae, Streptophyta, Magnoliopsida, Lamiales, Phrymaceae.
UGAAUGCAAGGACCAUGUUUUUUUGACAUGUAUAAAUUUGAACGAAACAACACUCUUACUUCAUAUGGAGCUGACAUAGAAAGUAGUAUUAGCUUACCGGGUGUUGCUCAUGAUUAUACGAGAUUUAUUUGUCGUGGAUCCAGAUGAAGUGAAAGAACGUUAUCAUGGAAGUCAUAUUUGUUGUCGCUUAACAAUUUAUGAAGUGGAAUUUAUUAUGAAAUAAUUAUAGGAAUCUUUCUUAUUACUUGGAAUGAUUGAUUUAUUAUUGUAUUGAGUAUGAUAGAUUGAAAUUAUAAUAUUCACAUUUGAUUG